Molecule: ribosomal RNA, 119 nt
Filed under: Pteropus alecto (black flying fox)
Lineage: Eukaryota; Metazoa; Chordata; Mammalia; Chiroptera; Pteropodidae
Source: RNAcentral
GUCUAUGGCCAUGCCACCCUGAACAAGCCUGAUGUCUGAUCUUGGAAGCUAAGCAGGGUCGGGCCUGGUUAGUAAUACUUGGAUGGGAGACCACCUAGGAAGACCAGGUGCUGUAGGCA